RNAcentral lists this ribosomal RNA (497 nucleotides) under uncultured bacterium. Its description in RNAcentral is "partial 16S ribosomal RNA". It matches the Rfam family "Bacterial small subunit ribosomal RNA", at positions 28 to 507 of the family's 1533-position model. The record is from RNAcentral.
GAUGAACGCUGGCGGCGUGCCUAAUACAUGCAAGUCGAGCGAACGGACGAGAAGCUUGCUUCUCUGAUGUUAGCGGCGGACGGGUGAGUAACACGUGGAUAACCUACCUAUAAGACUGGGAUAACUUCGGGAAACCGGAGCUAAUACCGGAUAAUAUUUUGAACCGCAUGGUUCAAAAGUGAAAGACGGUCUUGCUGUCACUUAUAGAUGGAUCCGCGCUGCAUUAGCUAGUUGGUAAGGUAACGGCUUACCAAGGCAACGAUGCAUAGCCGACCUGAGAGGGUGAUCGGCCACACUGGAACUGAGACACGGUCCAGACUCCUACGGGAGGCAGCAGUAGGGAAUCUUCCGCAAUGGGCGAAAGCCUGACGGAGCAACGCCGCGUGAGUGAUGAAGGUCUUCGGAUCGUAAAACUCUGUUAUUAGGGAAGAACAUAUGUGUAAGUAACUGUGCACAUCUUGACGGUACCUAAUCAGAAAGCCACGGCUAAGUACGUG